Molecule: long non-coding RNA, 377 nt
Organism: Gossypium arboreum
Lineage: Eukaryota; Viridiplantae; Streptophyta; Magnoliopsida; Malvales; Malvaceae
Exons: 2
Source: RefSeq, a predicted model, not a curated record
GAAAAAGAAAUGAAAAAGGAUAGAAAAGAAGCAGAAUGAAACGAAACAGAGAGCAAGGGAGGAAAAGAAAGAAAGGAAGAAAAGGGAAAAUUGGGGGUUUGAUGCUUGAAGCUUAAAUAGCUAACGAGGUGCCGAAAAAUCCUCGGUUAAGAAAGAAAAACACGAAGUCAACGAGGGUUAGCUUGGAAAUCAUGGUUUGUGUUUCUAUACUCCGAAACUUAUCUAUUAGUUGUUGCAUUUAUUAUUUCAUGUAUAAGGUAUGUGAAAUAAGGUGAGUAUGUGAUAUCAUAAUGUUGAAUUGAAUGUGUGAUUAUUGGAAAUGAAUUGAAAUGUAUAUUGUAUUGAAAGUGAAUUGCAUGUAGAUUGAUAUGGAAAAA